This 852-nucleotide long non-coding RNA is filed under the name Durio zibethinus. Its description in RNAcentral is "long non-coding RNA (DZIB_LNC001576)". The record is from RNAcentral. Lineage: Eukaryota; Viridiplantae; Streptophyta; Magnoliopsida; Malvales; Malvaceae.
AAGUAUGGUUCUCAGGGCAUUUGAACUUAUGGAAAAGUUAGUGGGAGUGCCAACAAAAACAAGAUCCAAGGUAACUAUACAAUUGGCUGAUUUAAUGUCUUCUUCAUAUGUUGUGGCUCUCUAAUUAAAUAAUGUAAUAAUUUGUUAAUAGGGAAAAUAAUUAUUGAAAAUAAACAUCCUAAUCAUGUUAUUUACAAGGGAUGUGUAGCUGUGGAGAAUUUUAUUAUAACUGCAACAAUAGUUGGCUUCCUUAAUUUUGCCAAGAAUAUAUUGUCUGAAAAUAAGAAAUAGAUGUGUCCAUGAACUAAGAGGAGCCAAGCAUGGUUAAAACCUUGAAAUCUUUGGAUUGGUUUAAUAUUUUAAUAUUUUAAAAUAUAUUCUAAAUAAAAUAAAUUUUUUUUUUUAAUUUAUAUUAACACAAUUGACUUGAGUUGGAUUUUUUUGGUUUCAUAUGUGGUUGUGUUAUUGGAAAUAUUUUUUUUUUUGUUCUUUACAACCAUAUUGGCGACAAUAAUCAUGGUUUUCUUUAAUUGAGGGUUGCAUUUUGACCUUUCAUUACUCAAUUGUGCUUUAAGGUACAGUGAAGAUUUUUCUUUCGCAUGAAUGUGGUGAAGAUUUGGAUGAAGUUGAUUUUUGUUGCCCCAGAGAAAAUAAGUUUGUUGAUCUUUUAAAUGAGAAAAUUUUGUUUAGUUGACUGUUUAGUUAAUAUGGUUAAGGAACAAGUUGUGGAUUUGACUACUCAGAUUGUAUAGAGUGUACUUUGUUGAUUUUGUAUUUUCAACAAAGCUCUUUGUUUUCCGUCAGAACUCUAUUUUUUAUUAUUGUAUUUGCUCUGUUUAGAAGGAAGCCUUG